RNAcentral lists this transfer RNA (77 nucleotides) under Escherichia coli. Its description in RNAcentral is "tRNA-Val". It matches the Rfam family "tRNA". From Rfam's summary of the family: Transfer RNA (tRNA) molecules are approximately 80 nucleotides in length. The record is from RNAcentral. Lineage: Bacteria; Pseudomonadati; Pseudomonadota; Gammaproteobacteria; Enterobacterales; Enterobacteriaceae.
GCGUCCGUAGCUCAGUUGGUUAGAGCACCACCUUGACAUGGGGGGGGUCGGUGGUUCGAGUCCACUCGGACGCACCA